Molecule: ribosomal RNA, 497 nt
Filed under: uncultured bacterium
Lineage: Bacteria
Description: partial 16S ribosomal RNA
Rfam family: Bacterial small subunit ribosomal RNA
Source: RNAcentral
GAUGAACGCUGGCGGCGUGCCUAAUACAUGCAAGUCGAGCGAACGGACGAUAAGCUUGCUUCUCUGAUGUUAGCGGCGGACGGGUGAGUAACACGUGGAUAACCUACCUAUAUGACUGGGAUAACUUCGGGAAACCGGAGCUAAUACCAGAUGAUAUUUUGAACCGCAUGGUUCAAAAGUGAAAGACGGUCUUGCUGACACUUAUAGAUGGAUCCGCGCUGCAUUAGCUAGUUGGUAAGGUAACGGCUUACCAAGGCAACGAUGCAUAGCCGACCUGAGAGGGUGAUCGGCCACACUGGGACUGAGACACGGUCCAGACUCCUACGGGAGGCAGCAGUAGGGAAUCUUCCGCAAUGGGCGAAAGCCUGACGGAGCAACGCCGCGUGAGUGAUGAAGGUCUUCGGAUCGUAAAACUCUGUUAUUAGGGAAGAACAUAUGUGGAAGUAACUGUGCACAUCUUGACGGUACCUAAUCAGAAAGCCACGGCUAACUACGUG